CGAGCCGCAAUUUGUGUUAUUACAAGCAAGCACGUCUUGUCCAUCUAGUAUCGACUACCGGGUCUUCUGUAGUUGAACGAGUCGACCUUGUGCUUGUGUUUUUUCUGGAAGACCCCUUGUGGUUGUGCUUAUGAAAUUGACAUCCGAUAACCAAAUUUUGAAGUUUGGGUAGUUGAUUCAUUUCCUCCGAAUCUUCAUCAAAACAACGUGAAUCUGCAAAUAAUUAAGCUCGUGUUCUUAUGCACGUAAUAUAAUAAAAAUUAUAAAAAAUAAAAUUAAACAGAAAAGAGUAAGGAAAGACAUGUAAAGUCUACGUGAAAUUAUCUGUUUACAAGUUAUUCGUGUGUUCAUCGUGUGUAUGGAACAACAGCUUCCUAGAAUAAAGUGAAUAAUGAUGCAGCGAUGCAGGAGUUCUACUCCAACAAAUUUUGUUUGUAUCAACUCUAAUCGUUAGAAUGAAUGUAUAUAGACAAUGUAAAAUUUGAUGAAUGAAGAAU
Molecule: long non-coding RNA, 497 nt
Filed under: Daucus carota (carrot)
Lineage: Eukaryota; Viridiplantae; Streptophyta; Magnoliopsida; Apiales; Apiaceae
Description: long non-coding RNA (DCAR_LNC000673)
Source: RNAcentral